Molecule: ribosomal RNA, 492 nt
Filed under: uncultured bacterium
Lineage: Bacteria
Description: partial 16S ribosomal RNA
Rfam family: Bacterial small subunit ribosomal RNA
Source: RNAcentral
AGUGAACGCUGGCGGUAGGCCUAACACAUGCAAGUCGAACGGCAGCACAGUAAGAGCUUGCUCUUACGGGUGGCGAGUGGAGGACGGGUGAGGAAUACAUCGGAAUCUACUUUUUCGUGGGGGAUAACGUAGGGAAACUUACGCUAAUACCGCAUACGACCUACGGGUGAAAGCAGGGGAUCUUCGGACCUUGCGCGAUUGAAUGAGCCGAUGUCGGAUUAGCUGGUUGGCGGGGUAAAGGCCCACCAAGGCGACGAUCCGUAGCUGGUCUGAGAGGAUGAUCAGCCACACUGGAACUGAGACACGGUCCAGACUCCUACGGGAGGCAGCAGUGGGGAAUAUUGGACAAUGGGCGCAAGCCUGAUCCAGCCAUACCGCGUGGGUGAAGAAGGCCUUCGGGUUGUAAAGCCCUUUUGUUGGGAAAGAAAAGCAGCAGGUUAAUACCCCGCUGUUCUGACGGUACCCAAAGAAUAAGCACCGGCUAACUUCGUG